RNAcentral lists this ribosomal RNA (497 nucleotides) under uncultured bacterium. Its description in RNAcentral is "partial 16S ribosomal RNA". It matches the Rfam family "Bacterial small subunit ribosomal RNA", at positions 29 to 507 of the family's 1533-position model. The record is from RNAcentral.
AAUGAACGCUGGCGGCGUGCCUAAUACAUGCAAGUCGAGCGAACGCACGAGAAGCUUUCUUCUCUGAUUUUAUCGGCGGACGGGUGAGUAACACAUGGUUAACCUACCUAUAAGACUGGGAUAACUUCGGCAAACCGUAGCUAAUAACGGAUAAUAUUUUGAACCUCAUUGUUCAAGAGUGAAAUACGGUCUUUCUUUCACUUAUAGAUUGAUCCGCGCUGCAUUAAUUAGUUGGUAAGGUAACGGCUUACCAAGGCAACGAUGCAUACCCGACCUGAGGGGGUGAUCGGCCACCUUGGAACAGAGACAGGGCACACACUCCGACGGGAGGCAGCAGUAGGGAAUCUUCCGCAAUGGACGAAAGCCUGAUGGAGGACCGCCGCGUGAGUGCUGAUGGUCUUCGGCUCGUAAAACUCUGUUAGUAGGGAAGAACAUAUGUGUAAGUAACUGUGCUCAUCUUGACGGUACCUAAUCAGAAAGCUACGGCUAACUACGUG